RNAcentral lists this ribosomal RNA (279 nucleotides) under uncultured bacterium. Its description in RNAcentral is "partial 16S ribosomal RNA". It matches the Rfam family "Bacterial small subunit ribosomal RNA", at positions 506 to 784 of the family's 1533-position model. The record is from RNAcentral.
UGCCAGCCGCCGCGGUAAUACGGAGGGUGCAAGCGUUGUUCGGAAUUAUUGGGCGUAAAGCGCGUGUAGGCGGUUCGUUAAGUCUGAUGUGAAAGCCCGGGGCUCAACCCCGGAAGUGCAUCCGAAACUAUCUAGCUUGAAUAUGGAAGAGGGUAGUGGAAUUCCUGGUGUAGUGGUGAAAUACGUAGAUAUCAGGAGGAACAUCGGUGGCGAAGGCGGCUGCCUGGUCCAAUAUUGACGCUGAGGCGCGAAGGCGUGGGUAGUGAAUGGGAUUAGAUA